AAUUGGUGGUGUAGGGGUAAAAUCCGUAGAUAUCACCAAGAAUACCCAUUGCGAAGGCGAUCUGCUGGAACUCAACUGACGCUAAGGCGCGAAAGCGUGGGGAGCAAACAGGAUUAGAUACCCUGGUAGUCCACGCCCUAAACGAUGUACACUAGUUGUUGGGGUGCUAGUCAUCUCAGUAAUGCAGCUAACGCAUUAAGUGUACCGCCUGGGGAGUACGGUCGCAAGAUUAAAACUCAAAGGAAUAGACGGGGACCCGCACAAGCGGUGGAGCAUGUGGUUUAAUUCGAGGAUACGCGAAGAACCUUACCUGGGCUUGAUAUCCUAAGAACCUUUUAGAGAUAAGAGGGUGCUAGCUUGCUAGAACUUAGAGACAGGUGCUGCACGGCUGUCGUCAGCUCGUGUCGUGAGAUGUUGGGUUAAGUCCCGCAACGAGCGCAACCCACGUAUUUAGUUGCUAACGGUUCGGCCGAGCACUCUAAAUAGACUGCCUUCGUAAGGAGGAGGAAGGUGUGGACGACGUCAAGUCAUCAUGGCCCUUAUGCCCAGGGCGACACACGUGCUACAAUGGCAUAUACAAUGAGACGCAAUACCGCGAGGUGGAGCAAAUCUAUAAAAUAUGUCCCAGUUCGGAUUGUUCUCUGCAACUCGAGAGCAUGAAGCCGGAAUCGCUAGUAAUCGUAGAUCAGCCAUGCUACGGUGAAUACGUUCCCGGGUCUUGUACUCACCGCCCGUCACACCAUGGGAGUUGAUUUCACUCGAAGCCGGAAUACUAAACUAGUUACCGUCCACAGUGGAAUCAGCGACUGGGGUGAAGUCGUAACAAGGUAACCGUAGGAGAACCUGCGGUUGGAUCACCUCCUUUCUA
Molecule: ribosomal RNA, 868 nt
Filed under: Campylobacter coli
Lineage: Bacteria; Pseudomonadati; Campylobacterota; Epsilonproteobacteria; Campylobacterales; Campylobacteraceae
Description: bacterial SSU rRNA
Rfam family: Bacterial small subunit ribosomal RNA
Source: RNAcentral